RNAcentral lists this ribosomal RNA (562 nucleotides) under Nakaseomyces glabratus. Its description in RNAcentral is "[Candida] glabrata partial large subunit ribosomal RNA". It matches the Rfam family "Eukaryotic large subunit ribosomal RNA", at positions 88 to 655 of the family's 3401-position model. The record is from RNAcentral. Lineage: Eukaryota; Fungi; Ascomycota; Saccharomycetes; Saccharomycetales; Saccharomycetaceae.
GGCGAGUGAAGCGGCAAAAGCUCAAAUUUGAAAUCUGGUACCUUUGGUGCCCGAGUUGUAAUUUGGAGAGUACCACUUUGGGACUGUACUUUGCCUAUGUUCCUUGGAACAGGACGUCAUGGAGGGUGAGAAUCCCGUGUGGCGAGGGUGUCAGUUCUUUGUAAAGGGUGCUCGAAGAGUCGAGUUGUUUGGGAAUGCAGCUCUAAGUGGGUGGUAAAUUCCAUCUAAAGCUAAAUACAGGCGAGAGACCGAUAGCGAACAAGUACAGUGAUGGAAAGAUGAAAAGAACUUUGAAAAGAGAGUGAAAAAGUACGUGAAAUUGUUGAAAGGGAAGGGCAUUUGAUCAGACAUGGUGUUUUGCGCCCCUUGCCUCUCGUGGGCUUGGGACUCUCGCAGCUCACUGGGCCAGCAUCGGUUUUGGCGGCCGGAAAAAACCUAGGGAAUGUGGCUCUGCGCCUCGGUGUAGAGUGUUAUAGCCCUGGGGAAUACGGCCAGCCGGGACCGAGGACUGCGAUACUUGUUAUCUAGGAUGCUGGCAUAAUGGUUAUAUGCCGCCCGUCUU